CAAUAGCAUAUAUUAACGUUGUUGCAGUUGAAAAGCUCGUAGUUGAACUUUUGGUAGGAGCGACCUGGCCUUGGGCGCAUGCCCUUGUUUGCCGUGUGUCGUAUCUGGCCAUCCUUUUCUUCUUUUUGGAAGGAAUCUUUUACUGUGAGUAAACUGGAGUGCUCAAAACAAGACGUUUGUUUGGUACAUUAAAGCAUGGAAUAAUAAGAUAGGACCUGGUUACUAUUUUGUUGGUUUGCAUAGCUAGGUAAUGAUUAACAGGGACAGUUGGGGGUAUUCGUAUUUAAUUGUCAGAGGUGAAAUUCUUGGAUUUAUGAAAGACGAACGACUGCGAAAGCAUUUACCAAGGAUGUUUUCAUUAG
RNAcentral lists this ribosomal RNA (362 nucleotides) under uncultured eukaryote. RNAcentral's name for it is "partial 18S ribosomal RNA". It matches the Rfam family "Eukaryotic small subunit ribosomal RNA", at positions 592 to 976 of the family's 1831-position model. The record is from RNAcentral.